Molecule: non-coding RNA, 126 nt
Organism: Triticum aestivum (bread wheat)
Lineage: Eukaryota; Viridiplantae; Streptophyta; Magnoliopsida; Poales; Poaceae
Source: Rfam
UUCAUACUCCCUACGUCCGAAAAAACUUGUCCCUCAAAUAAAUGUAUCUAGCAUCAAGUUAAUGCUAGAUACAUCCAUUUAAAAAAUAAAAUUGGGACAAGUUUUUCCGGACGGAGGGAGUACAAC